Pelobates cultripes (western spadefoot toad) is the source of this 85-nucleotide non-coding RNA. Lineage: Eukaryota; Metazoa; Chordata; Amphibia; Anura; Pelobatidae. The record is from the annotation of a GenBank genome assembly.
UCGCAAGCAGGAAGGACUCGAGACCCUUCACCAGUGCGGGAGACUCAGGCACUGGUGAAGAGUCUCGAGUCCUUCCUGCUUGCGA